Molecule: ribosomal RNA, 1403 nt
Filed under: Lactiplantibacillus pentosus
Lineage: Bacteria; Bacillati; Bacillota; Bacilli; Lactobacillales; Lactobacillaceae
Description: bacterial SSU rRNA
Rfam family: Bacterial small subunit ribosomal RNA
Source: RNAcentral
CUGGUAUUGAUUGGUGCUUGCAUCAUGAUUUACAUUUGAGUGAGUGGCGAACUGGUGAGUAACACGUGGGAAACCUGCCCAGAAGCGGGGGAUAACACCUGGAAACAGAUGCUAAUACCGCAUAACAACUUGGACCGCAUGGUCCGAGUUUGAAAGAUGGCUUCGGCUAUCACUUUUGGAUGGUCCCGCGGCGUAUUAGCUAGAUGGUGGGGUAACGGCUCACCAUGGCAAUGAUACGUAGCCGACCUGAGAGGGUAAUCGGCCACAUUGGGACUGAGACACGGCCCAAACUCCUACGGGAGGCAGCAGUAGGGAAUCUUCCACAAUGGACGAAAGUCUGAUGGAGCAACGCCGCGUGAGUGAAGAAGGGUUUCGGCUCGUAAAACUCUGUUGUUAAAGAAGAACAUAUCUGAGAGUAACUGUUCAGGUAUUGACGGUAUUUAACCAGAAAGCCACGGCUAACUACGUGCCAGCAGCCGCGGUAAUACGUAGGUGGCAAGCGUUGUCCGGAUUUAUUGGGCGUAAAGCGAGCGCAGGCGGUUUUUUAAGUCUGAUGUGAAAGCCUUCGGCUCAACCGAAGAAGUGCAUCGGAAACUGGGAAACUUGAGUGCAGAAGAGGACAGUGGAACUCCAUGUGUAGCGGUGAAAUGCGUAGAUAUAUGGAAGAACACCAGUGGCGAAGGCGGCUGUCUGGUCUGUAACUGACGCUGAGGCUCGAAAGUAUGGGUAGCAAACAGGAUUAGAUACCCUGGUAGUCCAUACCGUAAACGAUGAAUGCUAAGUGUUGGAGGGUUUCCGCCCUUCAGUGCUGCAGCUAACGCAUUAAGCAUUCCGCCUGGGGAGUACGGCCGCAAGGCUGAAACUCAAAGGAAUUGACGGGGGCCCGCACAAGCGGUGGAGCAUGUGGUUUAAUUCGAAGCUACGCGAAGAACCUUACCAGGUCUUGACAUACUAUGCAAAUCUAAGAGAUUAGACGUUCCCUUCGGGGACAUGGAUACAGGUGGUGCAUGGUUGUCGUCAGCUCGUGUCGUGAGAUGUUGGGUUAAGUCCCGCAACGAGCGCAACCCUUAUUAUCAGUUGCCAGCAUUAAGUUGGGCACUCUGGUGAGACUGCCGGUGACAAACCGGAGGAAGGUGGGGAUGACGUCAAAUCAUCAUGCCCCUUAUGACCUGGGCUACACACGUGCUACAAUGGAUGGUACAACGAGUUGCGAACUCGCGAGAGUAAGCUAAUCUCUUAAAGCCAUUCUCAGUUCGGAUUGUAGGCUGCAACUCGCCUACAUGAAGUCGGAAUCGCUAGUAAUCGCGGAUCAGCAUGCCGCGGUGAAUACGUUCCCGGGCCUUGUACACACCGCCCGUACACACCAUGAGAGUUUGUAACACCCAAAGUCGGUGGUGAGUAAC